AUUGAACGCUGGCGGCAGGCCUAACACAUGCAAGUCGAGCGAGCUGCGUACUUGUUAGUAAUUUCUUGGAAUCUUCCUGCUGGAGGGGGAUACCUACUGGAAACGGUAGCUAAUACCGCCUACCCUCUUAUGUUCCCCUUUGGGUUUAGCUAGUAGGUGGGGUAAUGGCUCACCUAGGCGACGAUCCCUAGCUGGUCUGGGAGGAUGACCAGCAACACUGGAACUGAGACACGGUCCAGACUCCUACGGGAGGCAGCAGUGGGGAAUAUUGCACAAUGGGCGCAAGCCUGAUGCAGCCAUGCCGCGUGUGUGAAGAAGGCCUUCGGGUUGUAAAGCACUUUCAGCGAGGAGGCGUUACUCGAAGAAGAAGCACCGGCUAACUCCGUGCCAGCAGCCGCGGUAAUAG
RNAcentral lists this ribosomal RNA (406 nucleotides) under uncultured bacterium. RNAcentral describes it as "partial 16S ribosomal RNA". It matches the Rfam family "Bacterial small subunit ribosomal RNA", at positions 30 to 526 of the family's 1533-position model. The record is from RNAcentral.